UUUCAAUAAUUUUUAAAUAGAAAUGAAAAAGAAAAGAGUAAGUAAAUUUUUAGAUUUUAAGAAUUUUAUUAACAUUUAAAAACACUUAUAUAUGCCAGAUAUAAACAUAUACCAUUACCGAAAUGUUAGCUAUCAAGGAUGCGGCAGGAAGCAUGCAACUAACGUUGACGACAAGAUUCUUAAUGGCUACAGUGAGUUCACACUCAAACCUUUUAAGGAAGAAGAUGGUGACUACAUGUGCAAUCAAAAGGAUCCAGUGGUGGAAAGGGUCUAUUCAAGAAACACAAUGAGAAAAUGAUGUGGUUUGGAUUAAUUGUGCAUGAAGAUGUUGAUGUGGUGGAUUUUAAACCAAUUCUUUCCCAACCUGGUUUUGGUCAGUCGAGUGAGUUGAGCAACUACAAAGGCUAUGUGGAGGAGAUACUGAAUUCAAUGGCAAGAAAUGGGAUGGAAACUGUGGUCCAAGGUUAGGUAGGUGGGAGAUGUAGGAAAGAAAAAGCGGCAGAGAAGACAAGGAAUGGUGUUUUUAGUUGAGGGUCAAAAAGUAAUUUUAACCUCUUACAAUGAAAAAUUUGAUUACAAGAGGUUAGAUCGGUUUUUAAGUUAAAAAAAAUUAAUGUGAGAAGUUUUAUAUUAUAAAUUGAAGUUUAAAGAUGAAGACGAGCAGUGAAAUUUAUCUAAAAGAUUUAUUCAUAAUUAUAAACACACAUUCAGCUAUUGUACGAUUGCAUUUGCUCCUCAAAAUUUUGCAAUCUUGGGUUUUCGGCUACUUCAUUUUUCUCGCCAACUUGAUCAAUUCAGCUAAAGUGGGAUCUUUAGAGACCUCAGGAUCUUGAUGUUCUGAAACCACACCCAAAUAGAAAAUAAAGGAAAGAGGAGAGAAAAUAGAAGAAAGGGGAGAUGAAAGAAAGAAGAAGAACAUUAGAAGAAGAAGAGAGAG
Molecule: unclassified non-coding RNA, 937 nt
Filed under: Hevea brasiliensis (rubber tree)
Lineage: Eukaryota; Viridiplantae; Streptophyta; Magnoliopsida; Malpighiales; Euphorbiaceae
Source: RNAcentral